CCUGGUGGCUCAGACAGUAAAGCAUCUGCCUGCAAUGCAGGAGACUCGGGUUCAAUCCCUGGGUCAGGA
This 69-nucleotide transfer RNA is filed under the name Bos taurus (domestic cattle). It matches the Rfam family "tRNA". From Rfam's summary of the family: Transfer RNA (tRNA) molecules are approximately 80 nucleotides in length. RNAcentral also lists the same sequence under 5 other names. The record is from Rfam by way of RNAcentral. Lineage: Eukaryota; Metazoa; Chordata; Mammalia; Artiodactyla; Bovidae.